AAUAAGUAAUGUGAAUUGCAGAAUUCAGUGAAUCAUCGAAUCUUUGAACGCAUCUUGCGCUUCUUGGUAUUCCAAGGAGCAUAUCUGUHUGAGUGUCAU
Molecule: ribosomal RNA, 99 nt
Filed under: Inocybe fibrosa
Lineage: Eukaryota; Fungi; Basidiomycota; Agaricomycetes; Agaricales; Inocybaceae
Description: partial 5.8S ribosomal RNA
Rfam family: 5.8S ribosomal RNA
About the family: 5.8S ribosomal RNA (5.8S rRNA) is a component of the large subunit of the eukaryotic ribosome.
Source: RNAcentral